ACCCUGGUCUUUUGAACUGUGAAACAGAAUUGAUAUUUAUGUGAUGGUGCAUAACCUUCAAUUUUUUAAUAAAGUGUAUUUUAGUUAUUGAUUUCUGUUUAAUUUUUCAGCUGUGAUCAAUACAGAAGAACUGCAGAAAUAUGUGCUUUUCUCACUAUGUGGAAUUGGCCUCAUUUUAGUUUGUCCAGUCAUUUACUGCUGUACCAGGAGGCAACGAAGAUCCAAACAAGGCCAGAAUCUAAGGACAAAUGAUGGAAAUGGAGAAGAGCUGGCUGAAAACUUCAGUAAUUUAAGGAAUAGGAGAAGCAAUUAUUUUGAAAGACUGAAUUCUGUAUAUGAAGGAAUUGGAUAGAGACACCAACGAUUCAGCUUUAAUAAAAAAACAUAAAAACACACAUUAUUUAUAAUGGAUGUGCAUUACUAUGAUAUGAAAUUCAAUUGCACAUGGACUGUUUUGAACUAGACUGAAUAGCCAUACUGUGAGAAUAAGUGUUCUUUGUUUUCCAUCUUAAAAAGAAACUUUUCUUUAGUGCUGCUUGAAGUAGGAAAUAAAUUAAUAGAAAAACAGAAACCUUCUAGAACAUCUUCAUAAAGAAGAAAAAGA
Long non-coding RNA from Erpetoichthys calabaricus (reedfish), 604 nucleotides. RefSeq lists it as uncharacterized. Lineage: Eukaryota; Metazoa; Chordata; Cladistia; Polypteriformes; Polypteridae. The record is from RefSeq and is a predicted model, not a curated record. The transcript is spliced from 3 exons.